Molecule: ribosomal RNA, 233 nt
Filed under: uncultured bacterium
Lineage: Bacteria
Description: partial 16S ribosomal RNA
Rfam family: Bacterial small subunit ribosomal RNA
Source: RNAcentral
CGGGACGGGUGAGUAAUGUCUGGGAAACUGCCUGAUGGAGGGGGAUAACUACUGGAAACGGUAGCUAAUACCGCAUAACGUCGCAAGACCAAAGUGGGGGACCUUCGGGCCUCUUGCCAUCGGAUGUGCCCAGAUGGGAUUAGCUAGUAGGUGGGGUAACGGCUCACCUAGGCGACGAUCCCUAGCUGGUCUGAGAGGAUGACCAGCCACACUGGGACUGAGACACGGUCCAG